Molecule: long non-coding RNA, 1240 nt
Organism: Meriones unguiculatus (Mongolian gerbil)
Lineage: Eukaryota; Metazoa; Chordata; Mammalia; Rodentia; Muridae
Exons: 2
Source: RefSeq, a predicted model, not a curated record
CAGUGGCGAAGUAAAAGAGAGAAAAUGGCUUUUAAAAACUUAGUGACCUCAUUGCCCUAUCACUCACAAAUAGUUAAAUUAAGUGCACAUUCGUUCUGAAGAUCUCGGUUGUUGGUGAUGGAUGUAGUCAGCUUGAGAACGAGGGGUUUCCUUGACUUGGAGCCAAGUCAUCAUGGUUCCACAAACCCUGGCCUGGGAAAGCCAUCUAAAGCAUGCCGGUGACUGACUGUGAGGAUGGGCUAGCUGUCCAGAGAGGUGUAACUGGGCCAGUGAGGUUUCAUAGACCCAGCAAACGUUGCGGGCUGUUGCCGUUGUUUCUGGCCAUCCUCCAGAAGCUGACAGGGAGAGCCUACUGCUGAAGAGUCCUCAACCUUGAGACACAGAAUAUAAAGAGAUCAGGCUGUAACUAUCCAAAAAGCUUCGUGCAAACUGGCUAGCCUUCAAAGUGCUGGAAGGCCCCAUGCAGGCUACAGGAGGAGAAAAACCAGCAUCAAGUAUACCCGGCUGUCACCUCGACAGGCUACAAGAACGCCAGGCCCACUGACGUCACCGCAGUUCGAGUGUCCUAAGAGUAAUCAACCUCUUCCUGAUUGGAUGUCUCUCCUACUCCGAAAGAUAAAGCCCAUACCAGGCACGGACACUGACCAAAGCCCACGGCCAGACAGGUCACAGGCCCUAGGCGAGGACAUAGAACCGUUAAACGCUGCUAAGCACACACAGUAGUCGACUGACUUCUAACGGUUCUCGUUGUAACGUGGAUCCGUGCAUCUCAGCCCUCCCCUGACGAGCUUGUGUUUGCAGUACGUGUUGCUUACCCCGGGGAUCCACCCUGUACCAAGCGCAGACGCUGCAGAACGCUUAGCCCUCGCAGAGCGGAAACACACCGUCUUCCCAAAACCGAAGCGUCGCUGCGGGAAAGGGGGCAGAAAGAGUGGAGGAGCCAGAAACAGCAGAUGACUACAAAGGAGACAAUGUUCUCAGAACACAGCAGGACAGCUGCACAUAUGAAAUCACGCUGAUCGUGACCGUGGGCACGAGACCAGUGGAAGUCCACGCUGGGCCAAAUCCCAGCACGGAAAGAAGAAGGCAACACCAGGUCACCGCUGUGUAAAAAACUAUGUGUGACAACGUUAGUCGCUGGGAGAGGAGGGCGUCAAUUUCCUCUAAGAAUAUAGCCACUGGUGAUUCAAUCACGUGCCGGUGGAAGGCCACACAUCCGAGGGUAUUUGGUCAGCACAAA